RNAcentral lists this ribosomal RNA (458 nucleotides) under uncultured bacterium. Its description in RNAcentral is "SSU rRNA". It matches the Rfam family "Bacterial small subunit ribosomal RNA", at positions 26 to 518 of the family's 1533-position model. The record is from RNAcentral.
AGAAUCAACGCUGGCGGCGUGCCUAACACAUGCAAGUCGCACGAGAAAGGGACUUCGGUCCUGAGUACAGUGGCGCACGGGUGAGUAACACGUGAAUAAUCUACCUCCGAGUGGGGAAUAACUGAGAGAAAUCUUAGCUAAUACCGCAUAACACUUACGAGUCAAAGCAGCAAUGCGCUUGGAGAGGAGUUCGCGGCAGAUUAGUUAGUUGGCGGGGUAAUGGCCCACCAAGACGAUGAUCUGUAUCCGGCCUGAGAGGGCGCACGGACACACUGGAACUGAAACACGGUCCAGACUCCUACGGGAGGCAGCAGUGGGGAAUUUUGCGCAAUGGGGGAAACCCUGACGCAGCAACGCCGCGUGGAGGAUGAAAUAUCUUGGUAUGUAAACUCCUUUCGAUGGGGAAGAUAAUGACGGUACCCGUAGAAGAAGCCCGGCUAACUCGCGCCAGCAGCCGC